UACGGAAGGCAGCAGUGGGGAAUAUUGCACAAUGGGCGAAAGCCUGAUGCAGCUAUGCCGCGUGUAUGAAGAAGGCCUUAGGGUUGUAAAGUACUUUCAUCGGGGAGGAAAAACAAAACUAAUAAUUUUAUUUCUUGACGUUACCCGAAAAAGAAGCACCGGCUAACUCCGUGCCAGCAGCCGCGGUAAUACGGAGGGUGCUAGCGUUAAUCAGAAUUACUGGGCGUAAAGAGCACGUAGGUGGUUUUUUUAAGUCAGAUGUGAAAUCCCUGGGCUUAACCUGGAACUGCAUUUUGAAACUGAAAUACUAGAGUAUCGUAGAGGGAGGUAGAAUUCUAGGUGUAGCGGUGAAAUGCGUAGAUAUCUGGAGGAAUACCUGUGGCGAAAGCGGCCUCCUAAACGAAUACUGACACUGAGGUGCGAAAGCGUGGGAGCAAACAGGGAUUAGAUACC
This 453-nucleotide ribosomal RNA is filed under the name uncultured bacterium. Its description in RNAcentral is "bacterial SSU rRNA". It matches the Rfam family "Bacterial small subunit ribosomal RNA", at positions 340 to 786 of the family's 1533-position model. The record is from RNAcentral.